CACGUACUGUGCGAACGUUAUUCGGAAUCACUGGGCUUAAAGGGUGCGUAGGCGGCGAUUCAAGUCAGAUGUGAAAUGCCUGAGCUCAACUGAGGCAUUGCGUUUGAAACUGAAUUGCUAGAGUAUCCUAGGGGUGUGCGGAACUGCCAGUGGAACGGUGAAAUGUGUUGAUAUUGGCAGGAACACCGGAGGCGAAAGCGGCACACUGGGGGAUAACUGACGCUGAGGCACGAAAGCCAAGGGAGCGAACGGGAUUAGAUACCCCGGUAGUCUUGGCCGUAAACGAUGAGUACUGGGCGGGAGGGGGUUUCCCCUUUCUGCCGUAGCGAAAGCGUUAAGUACUCCGCCUGGGGAGUAUGGUCGCAAGGCUGAA
This 373-nucleotide ribosomal RNA is filed under the name uncultured bacterium. RNAcentral's name for it is "bacterial SSU rRNA". It matches the Rfam family "Bacterial small subunit ribosomal RNA", at positions 524 to 898 of the family's 1533-position model. The record is from RNAcentral.